RNAcentral lists this unclassified non-coding RNA (296 nucleotides) under uncultured Psathyrella. RNAcentral's name for it is "sequence contains ITS2". The stretch from base 1 to 52 matches the Rfam family "5.8S ribosomal RNA", at positions 103 to 154 of the family's 154-position model. Lineage: Eukaryota; Fungi; Basidiomycota; Agaricomycetes; Agaricales; Psathyrellaceae. The record is from RNAcentral.
AACGCACCUUGCGCUCCUUGGUACUCCGAGGAGCAUGCCUGUUUGAGUGUCAUUAAAUUCUCAACCUCAUCAGUUUUGUAACGAGACUGUGUGAAGUUGGAUGUGGGGGUUUGUGCAGGCUGCCUCAGUGCGGUCUGCUCCCCUGAAAUGCAUUAGCGAGUUCAAACUGGGCUCCGUCUAUUGGUGUGAUAAUUAUCUACGCCGUGGAUUGAGCUUAGACUUGCUUCUAACCGUCCGCAAGGACAAUCUUUUGACAAUUUGACCUCAAAUCAGGUAGGACUACCCGCUGAACUUAA